UGAACGCUAGCGGCAGGCUUAACACAUGCAAGUCGAACGGUAACAUUUCCAGCUUGCUGGAAGAUGACGAGUGGCGAACGGGUGCGUAACGCGUAUGCAACUUACCUCUGACCAGGGCAUAGCCCCGUGAAAACGGGAAUAAUACCCUAUAGUACCACGAAAUGACAUCUUUUUGUGGUUAAAGAUUUAUCGGUUAGAGAUGGGCAUGCGUCCCAUUAGAUUGUUGGUGAGGUAACGGCUCACCAAGUCUACGAUGGGUAGGGGGCCUGAGAGGGUUAUCCCCCACACUGGUACUGAGACACGGACCAGACUCCUACGGGAGGCAGCAGUGAGGAAUAUUGGUCAAUGGACGAAAGUCUGAACCAGCCAUGCCGCGUGCAGGAAGAAUGCCCUAUGGGUUGUAAACUGCUUUUAUAUAGGAAGAAACCCCUGAACGUGUUCUGGGCUGACGGUACUAUAUGAAUAAGCACCGGCUAACUCC
This 481-nucleotide ribosomal RNA is filed under the name uncultured bacterium. Its description in RNAcentral is "bacterial SSU rRNA". It matches the Rfam family "Bacterial small subunit ribosomal RNA", at positions 30 to 504 of the family's 1533-position model. The record is from RNAcentral.